UAUAAGGUUUAUAGGCACAAGGGCCCAAAUGAUACAUUCUGUUACAUGCUAAGGGGUAUAUGAAAAACGUAGACCAGGAAAUACAAAGAAAGCUUGCCUAAAGAGGGCAGCAUUCCUCCAGACCGAGUUGCCUCGGAAAUUCUAUCCCAAGUCUACAAGAGGUGCACAGGUGGAGAGAUGAGAAUGGUGGGUGUGCACAUGCCCCCAAAAGGGCCAGCAACAACCACACCAAGUUCAUUCAAUAAUGAUCCUUCCGCAGGUUCACCUACGGAAA
This 274-nucleotide unclassified non-coding RNA is filed under the name uncultured fungus. Its description in RNAcentral is "sequence contains ITS1". Lineage: Eukaryota; Fungi. The record is from RNAcentral.